UUAACACAUGCAAAUCGAACGCCAGCACGGGGGGCAACCUUGGUGGGCGAGUGCCGAACGGGUGAGUAAUACAUCGAAACGUGUCCUGUAGUGGGGAUAGCCCGGCGAAAGCCGGAUAUAUACCGCAUACGCUCGAGAGAGGAAAGUGGGGGAUCUUCGGACCUCACGCUAAAGGGGCGGCCGAUGGCAGAUUAGCUAGUUGGUGGGGUAAAGGCCUACCAAGGCGACGAUCUGUAGCUGGUCUGAGAGGACGACCAGCCACACUGGGACUGAGACACGGCCCAGACUCCUACGGGAGGCAGCAGUGGGGAAUUUUGGACAAUGGGGGCAACCCUGAUCCAGCAAUGCCGCGUGUGUGAAGAAGGCCUUCGGGUUGUAAAGCACUUUUGUCAGGGAAGAAAAGGGCGUCCCUAAUAUGGAAGCCUGAUGACGGUACCUGAAGAAUAAGCACCGGCUAACUACGUGC
RNAcentral lists this ribosomal RNA (466 nucleotides) under uncultured bacterium. RNAcentral describes it as "bacterial SSU rRNA". It matches the Rfam family "Bacterial small subunit ribosomal RNA", at positions 48 to 508 of the family's 1533-position model. The record is from RNAcentral.